Molecule: unclassified non-coding RNA, 312 nt
Filed under: Zea mays
Lineage: Eukaryota; Viridiplantae; Streptophyta; Magnoliopsida; Poales; Poaceae
Description: misc RNA Zm00001eb331870
Source: RNAcentral
UCCAGAUCCAUGGCGCCCAACACCUUGAGCGCCCCUGCCGCUGCUCCUCCACCGGGAUCUCCUCCUCCACUAGGCGUCCAGGCUUGUCCCACCAUGGCUGCCCCUCCUCCAUCUCCUCCCUCCCCACCAGGUUACCCAGAUUCCAUGGCCGCCGCCGCCCCAGCCAUCUCCCUGGUGGCCGACCUCGCCCCUGCCCCAGCCACAGCUCCCCCUUCGGCCCUGCUGCUGCAAGCACUCAGCCCCUCCCAUGGCACACGCCCCAUCUGCAACACCGUCGACCCCCGACGAGGUCCUGUUCUCGCCCUGUCGUUU